This is a long non-coding RNA of Carassius gibelio (silver crucian carp), 474 nucleotides long. RefSeq lists it as uncharacterized. The record is from RefSeq and is a predicted model, not a curated record. Lineage: Eukaryota; Metazoa; Chordata; Actinopteri; Cypriniformes; Cyprinidae. The transcript is spliced from 2 exons.
GCUCUCUCACUUUUUCUCUCUCUUAUACAUCUUGUUGUCCCUAUGUUUCUUUUCUUUUCUUUUCAUUGAUUGUUAGUGUCAGAAUAUUUGCAGUCCUUUGAAGACUAGUUAGGUUAGUUUUCACAAGCAGGCAUAUCGGAGAUGUAAAGCCAAUAGAAAUCCUGCUGUUCUGUGGGUGAGCUGGAAGCAACUGAUCCAUGGUAUCUCAGGAACGCCGUUGUCAAAAGAUCCUUGUACAUCUCUGUCACACUCUCCCCUCGGCAUCGCUCAUCCACAUCUGGAGACCAUGCUGUCAGAUUUACUAGAACUGGAGCGUGUAUCAGUUGGAUGUUGAUCAGCACCCCUUGAUAUGGUUUCAUCAACACAUCAGAAGAGGGUGCUGGUUGUAGUACUGGGCACUCUUGCAUCAUCUCCAUCAUCGGCAGGACCACUAUCAGGACCCAUUGCCACAUCUUUUUGUCGCUCCGUUAAGAA